GUCUUCUUCCAAAGAAGAGCCUUUGGUAUUUGGCAGAGCCUCGCCAAUUUGGGGCGCACCUCCCCUUCCUGGGAUGCUCUCAGAAGGCAAACCAAUUCCCAGAAGAGAGGGAAAAACAGCCACAACAGAGAGAACCUUUGCUGUCCCUGUUUGGAAAGAGAUUGGGAUUUCCUGGAGAGGGCUUGCUUCUACUGCAGGUUUGUUUAAAAGCUCAACAUCUAUUCUGGAAGAGAACAACGCAGACUCCAGGAAGAUGGAGAAAAGGCAUUUGCUGCCCAAGGUAGAAUCCCAUCACCAUACUCCUUUCCUACAUCCAAUCACAAAAUCAGAAUAUGCCAAUUCUCUAUUCCCAAGCGUGUCAUUUUGGAAUGUGUCUUGCUGCUCUUCUCAUCAAAGGUAAAGUCCUCUUCUUCACCUUUUAACCUAGAGUAGCUGUGCAACUUUCUUUGACCAAUCAAAUAUGGUGGAAGUGAUGUUGCGUGACUUCCAGAUAUAAGUCUUAAAGAGAUUUUUCACUUUCUGCUUUCACUCUCUUGGAAUGUUGCCCUGAGAUCACCACACCAUGAAGAAGUCUGGGGCGAAAGGCCAUGUGGAGUGAGAGGCUCAGCUUCCCAGAUGAUCUCACUGAGCACAGCCCCCAGCCACCUGCCAGCUCAAUGCAACCUGGUGAUGGACCCAAGCAAAUACCAGCAGAAGAAUCACCUGGUCAACCCACAGAAUCAUGAGAAAUACUAAUUUGUUGUUGUCUUAAGCCACAGGGUGAAGACUAUAUUUGCUCACAUAAAUUGUGUCCUUAUAACAGAAAAAGCUUCUUAGGGCUGGUGCGGUGGCUUAUUCCUGUAAUCCCAGCACUUUGGGAGGCGGACGCAAGCAGAUCACUUGAGUUCAGGAGUUCUAGACCAGCCUGGCCUACAUGGUGAAACCCCGUCUCCACUAAAAAUACAAAAAUUAGACAGGCAUGGUGGUGCAUGCCUGUAAUCCCAGCUACCUGGAAGGCUGAGGCAGGAAAAUUGCUUGAACUUGGGAGGCAGAGGCUGCAGCGAACCAAGAUGGGACCACUACACUCCAAACUGGGUGACACAGUGAGACUCCAUCUAAAAAACAAACAACAACAACAAAAGAAAAAGCAUCUCAGAAAAACGUUCCCCUUUUUCAUUGAUUCCAUGCAAAUGAUACUUCACCCUAUUGUUUACUUGUCCUGAAAUUUCAAAGCAGCAGAAAUUCUGCUAUACAUUAUCCUUUUAUCUGGUAUUUAUUGAAAAUGUAUUUGGCUAUGAUUUGAAAUAUAUAACAUAGUGUCAGGUUUAUUUUCUCAUGUAACGAGUCAAGAAGUAGGUGGUUGCUGCCUUUCUUUCAGUUAUUCAACACUAUAAUCAAUCACUGUCUUGUCUUUUUAUAUUUCUGUUCGCUAUCUUCUAUGUGUUGGGUUUCCUUCCCGGUGGGUGUCAUAUCAGGGUCACAAAAUGGCUGCUAUUGCCCAGUAAUACUCGAAUGCUCGAGCGAGGGCAGGAUGGAGGGAGGGGCUGCUAGCUGUAUCUGUCUCCUUUUGUCAGAAAAGCAAAAGCUUUCCGGGAAGCUCUCCUAGCGGCGACUCCUUACAUCUCAAGGCCACAAAUUUCAAAGAGUGGAAAAGCAGAAAACAAGAUUCUCAUUUUUGGCACCAUUGUGAGACAUUGCCUAGGAAAGGCAUAUUGACAAUUCAAACAAAAUCUUAAAUUCUAGUAGCAAAGGACACAGAGGAAUGAAUAUUUGGUACGGGACAGAAAGGAUCUGCCUAAAUGCCCUAGUUCAUUUGAAUGUAAAAUUCUUAAAGGCUGGGAUUGUGCCUGUUCUCUUCUUUGUGUAUAGGACUCAGAUCAUAAGAAAAAUCUUUGACACUACAAAUUCUAUACACUAAGGCAGUAUCCCCAAAUUUCAUUCAAUUUUUCUAAUAUGGGGGUGCUACUGAGCACAAAACUAGAAAGAGAUUAUAAAUAUACAUAUUCUUGGUCAGUUUAGACUACUAUAGCAAAAUAUGAUGCACUAGGUGGUUUAAAUGAUCUCCUCUUAGGGCCCUUGCUGUGUCCUUGUAUGGUGGAGAGACAGUUCUCUGGCCUCUCUUCUCUUCUUAUAAGGCCACUAAUUCCAUCAUGGGGACUUCACCCUCACGUCCUGAUCUAAACCUGAGCACCCCCCAAAGGUUCCACAUUCAAAUACCAUCACACUAGAGGUUAGGGCUUCAACAUAUAAAUUUGGGGGAAGAUAAGCGUUUAGACCAUUAUUUAUUUAUAUGUUAAAAAUAAUAUAGAAUAUUCCCAGAAGUCAAUUUUUGCUCCAUGUAUUAGAAUACUUAUUAAACCUUCCUAUGCCCAGCAAAAUUGUAGACACUGAAAAAAUACCAACAGAAAAUGGUCCAGCUUUUAAUGCAUUUAAGCUGAAAUAAGAAGUGGUGAACACAGAUCCAAAUUGAACUAAAAUGUUAUGUAAUCUAUAAUAGCAACCUUUUAUCUGGUGUCUAUUAUGUGAUAAUGGUAUAACGUACUUUAUCUAAUCUUCACAACAACACUGCUAGGUAGUUAUUAGCCUCAUCUUAAGUGUUAGAAAACAGAGAACACUGAGAGGCUAAGAAAUUCAUUCAAGGCCACCCAGGGCAUAAGCAGUGGAGCUGAAGUUUGGACAAGAUUUCUUUUUCUCCCCAAGCCAUGCUUGCACAUAAUGCACAUACCACUACAUGCUGAUUAAUUCAUUUUAUGAAUAAAAUCUUCCCUCUUAUAAUUCUGCUUUGUUUUUAUGCUUUUUCAUUCCUAGCUUUCUCACUGGUGACUUAUGUGGAUGAAUCAAUGGGAACAAGGUCAGAUCAUGGACAGAUGAGAAAAUAAUGAGACAUUAGAUUAUUAAGAGAGAUGAAGUUAAGAGUGAGAGGUGAAUGAAAGGGAAGAAGGGGUGAAAGCUCAGGAUUAUGAAGGGAAUAAACAGGAAAGAGGAGAGAGAAGAAGAGAAUGAAUACUACCCAGAUAUUUCUCUGGGCACUGUGGAUCUGAUGGAAUGGUGGUAUCCCACCCUGUAACCCUGUCUUCUCUGAUCUCUGGCCAAGUGUGUGGCUUGGCACUGCACAACUAACAGUUAGCAGCAUUCUGGGGAGAGGCUCAUGGUAGUGACCAAAUUGCACUUUCCCUAGCUAUUCUUGUGUUCUAAUCCUCCCCUGAAGGUCUUUUAUGGUUAAUCUCAAACCAUAUAAAUAUUUAACUCUCCUUUUAGUUACAUUGCAGAAGCCUGUUCUCAAACAAGUAUAAGUUUCAGUAACCACAAAUUGAUACUAAUCUACCCUAAUGUCACUGUGUUCCUCUUCUUCAAGUGAGUUGAAAGCAUGGAUCCAUACAAUUUGUCUUGUUCAGUUUGUACCUACUUGUAUCUUCCAUUAACAGAGCAUAGACUCUCAGGUAUGGAGAACAGAUUAAGAUCCAAUUACUCAGCCAAAAUUUCAAUCCACCUCUCUCCAGGACAUUUUUUUGUUUUUGUUUUUGUUUUUCUUUAACAUCCUCCAAACUGGUAGUAUAGCUAUAUCGAGUACUUCCAGUCCAUGGAACCUAACACUUCCUCAAGUAGUCCUUUCCAUGCUUAGACAACUUCGACUUUAGAGUGUGGUUUCUUAUUUCACCAGUCAGGAUAGCUAAGCUGUUCUGCAGUAACAAACAGCCCUAAAGUGUCAGCUCUAAUACAACAGAGGCUUUCUUUUUUUUUUUUUUUUUUUGGCUAACAUUAUGUGCCUAUCAAAUCAGCUUGGCUCUGGUAUAUAUUGAUAUCCAUCUGGGAUCCUGGCUGAGGGAGAAGCCCCUCUCUGGGACAUUUCUGAUCUCAUGGCAGAGGAAAAGAGGUCCUGGAGGAUCGUAUACUGGCCAUUAGAGCUUCCACAUGUCAUUAGCCAACAUGCAUCACAUGGAGUCAUCCCACAGAGAAGGACAGGGCCAGGAGCAAGACAACCCAGAGAACAGCCGUAAAUAUCUGGAAUAACAGUGCAAUGUACCACAUAGUUAUUGAGUCAAAUCCUUUUCCAAGUCAUAUCCCUCCUUCCCCAUUGCCUUUUCUCUUUACCAGCUCUACAAAUGUUAGGAAUCCUUAGCCAUGUUUUCUUCGAGCUGUCUUUCUUCUAGUCUAAUUGGCUCCAAUUCCUCCACUGACCUGUUCCCUGUAUCUAGUGGUCUUAUCUGACAUUCUCUUGAGCCUUUUCAGCUGUCUCAAGUCAACUGGUGAGAGAAUUGUUGGUCUAUUCUCCAAAGGAAGUGGUCCCUUGACAUACUUUCCUUUAGGAUGAUGGGUUUGGCGAUGUGGCUGAGCCUUCUAGACAAAAAAAGCUUUCCUUAAACAAUAUCUCAACUAAUCAGUCUCCAAAUAUUUUAGUAGCUUAAAUCUUUAGGCUUUUCACAAAUGCCCAGACACUUUGCCUGUUAUAUAUUAGAAUGUAGAGAUGUUUGAGCACUUCCAGAGGGCAAAUGUCACAUCCCUGACUAUACUUUAGGUAACUUAGCAAUAUAUAUACAUGGUUGUAUUGACAAAACUCCUCAAGCCUACUAUUUUUUCAUAGGACUGGCUCAGAAUGUGGACUUUGGAAAUAACCAGUCUUGGAUCAAACCCUGAUUCCACUCAGUACUACCUAUACGACCUUUGACAAGUUAAUUAAUCCUGAGCUCUUAUUUCCUCAUCUAAUGAGAUACAGACAAUAAGAGUUAUCUUUCUCAUGUGGCUGUUGAGAGGAUUAAAUGACAACAGUGGGGCUCAAUCAGUGUCUUCUUUUGUUACCAUACUGGGGUCCUAGCACUCAGAGCUAUUUCUGGUCUUACUCAAGGACCAGGUCCUCUAGCAUCCCUGGGUUUACCAUGGUUAUGCAUAGCUCCCUCCUCUCUCCCAGGUGUCCUUCUCUCCUCCUGAAAUGUUUCAGCCUCAAGUCAGCAUCAUCCGAGCUUGACCAGUAUCUCUCAAGGUGUUGUCCAAGAACAAGCUGCACUGGAAUCACCUGGAGGCCCACGUGGCUCCAUUUCAGACUAACUGACAGAGUUAGAAGAUGAAACUAGUAAAUCUGUAUUUUAACAAGCUUCCCCCAGCUAGAGGUGCCAGAUAAAUUAUAGGACAUCCAGUUAAAUUUGAAUUUCAGAUAAACAAUGAACAAUUUUCAGUAUAAGUAUGUCUGUCCCAUGCAAUAUUUGGAACAUACUUAUACUAAAAAAAAAUUUAUUAUUUAUCUGAAAUUCAAAUUAAAUGGAGUAUCCUGUACUUUUAAUUGCUAAAUCUGGCAAACAAAUCUCAGGGAUUCCAAUUCUUACUAAAUUUGAAGACCACUGGUUUAAGAUAUUUGGCAAAAAUCUCAAAUUCAACUUCAUGAGCUUCCAAGGAGGGAGGGAGGGAAAGAACGAAGGAAGGAAGGAAGGAAACGAAAGGAAAGGGAAGGGAAGGAAGGAAGGAAGGAAGGAAAUGAAAGGAAAGGGAAGGGAAGGGAAGGGAGGGAAGGGAGGGAAGGAAGGGAAGGGAGGGAAGGGAAGGAAGGGAAGGAAGGGAAGGAAGGGAAGGAAGGGAAGGAAGGGAAGGAGAGAAGGAGGGAGGAAGGAGAAGAGAGGAAAGAAAGAAAGGAAGAAAGAGACAAAGAGAGGAAAGAAAAGCAAAGCAAGCGAAGCUUAUAGACGGAACACAGAUGGCCCAUGCAUCCACAAAACAAAUAUGCACAAGACCAAGUAGGUUAGCAUUUGUUUCAGCAGCCACAGUGGCAAACAUAGACAAUCCAGCAGCCAGAGAAAAAUCCACUUCCUUGUUUCUCUAGUUUGGAAUUGGGCUUUAGGUGUCUCUGUCUCCUUCUGCUGCUUUCUCCUUUUUUUUUUUUUUUUUUUUUUUUUUUUUUGUCUAAACAUCUCCAUGCUAUGCUAGCCAACACCUACUCAUCCUCAUUUGGUAUUUCCUCUUUUGCUUUUUUGCUUUCCUACAAAGCAUCUUGGGCCCAUCCUCCUCUGUCUGCCCCAAACAUCAGAAUACCUAAUCAAAUAGUCAUAUAGCCAUCUUUCUCCCUCUAAUAUUAAGUGUGGACUCCCUCAAUUUUAGUUUUCUGAUGGGAUUUUCCUAAUUCUCAAACCAUUCUGUCUUAUGUGUACUAGAGUAAUGCAUUGUGUUUUUGGUUCGUGUACAUUUACAGAGGCCUUAAAAGAGACAUUAGCUGAUUUUUCACAAUAACCCCAUAAUCGAGGCAGAUGAAAAACGGAGCCCUUUUAUUCCUAGGCCAAGACCCUUCUUACUCAGCCAUUGUCUCAUCUCAGGUUAUUAUACUCACAUCAUUCAUUUGUCAUUUUAGAAUAGUGAUUAAAGCACAGCUGUGUGCCUUGGUUAGUUUUAUUUUUUUCUUAACCAAUCUAAGCUUCCAUUUCCUCAUUUGUAAACUUAGGUUAACAAUAGUGCCUACAUCAUGAGCACUGGGUUUAGUCAGAUGAUCAAAGUCUUAGCACUGUGACUGCAAAUUGUAAGCACUCAAAAUAUUAGCCAUUAUUAAAACUAUCUUGUGGGCCAAUUCUUUUCCAGGCCCAGCUUUUCUCUUGUUGUCUUUCAGCAAAUAGAGAUAUAAAAUGGAAAACUUAGACUAAAACCAGCAGAACAAGAAGUAUCAAUGGCUGCACAAGGAAGUAAUGCAGACCUAUGCUAAAUUUUCUCUUGGUAAACACUUCCUUUUUCAUACCCCUCUCCCUUGAACUUUUUCACCUCCACUCCUACAAUUUUAUGUUAUGCAGAGUCAAAAAUAUAAUCAUCCUAAACUAGGCUCAGCAGUGUGGACAGUAACUGAUUGAAAUAUGAGGUUCUUUAAUUAGAAGCAGGAACUAGAGUAUAGUACUAAGAAUAAUGGUAAUAUAAUUAUUUGCAUCUUGUCUAACUUCCUCAUUUACACUGGCCUUCUUCAUUUCUAUCUCAUUCCCUGAUAAAUAUGGUAUCUCAAAGCCAAAUGUUUGGGACUCCAAUAUUAUCAUUGUGUUCACCUUCUUUACCCAUUAGGGCCUUUAUAUGAUAAUAAGUGUAAUAUGAUAUCCCCAAUGAAUGAGAUAGAGUGGCCCAUACAGGAGCGACCUCAAAGCACUUUUUCUGUACUGCAGAUGCAGUGCAAAAUUAGGAAUAUUAGGAAAAUUACGACUGCUUUCUUCAGAAAAUACUCAGGGCAAUAUUGUUGUGGAUAAUGGGAAAUAACUGGUGGUUUUUGAACAAGGAAAGUGAAUGUCGGUUAUAGUAUUGAAUAGAAUAGUGUUCUAGAAAUAGACAAUCUAUGUAGACCAGUAAGUCUGAAGUCAGGGUCACUGUGCAGCAACAGAGGACAUAAUCUGAG
This 7324-nucleotide long non-coding RNA is filed under the name Homo sapiens (human). Its description in RNAcentral is "non-protein coding lnc-CSRNP3-9:5". The stretch from base 5144 to 5199 matches the Rfam family "mir-1302 microRNA precursor family". The record is from RNAcentral. Lineage: Eukaryota; Metazoa; Chordata; Mammalia; Primates; Hominidae.